GUGAACGCUGGCGGUAGGCCUAACACAUGCAAGUCGAACGGCAGCACAGUAAGAGCUUGCUCUUACGGGUGGCGAGUGGCGGACGGGUGAGGAAUACAUCGGAAUCUACUUUUUCGUGGGGGAUAACGUAGGGAAACUUACGCUAAUACCGCAUACGACCUACGGGUGAAAGCAGGGGAUCUUCGGACCUUGCGCGAUUGAAUGAGCCGAUGUCGGAUUAGCUAGUUGGCGGGGUAAAGGCCCACCAAGGCGACGAUCCGUAGCUGGUCUGAGAGGAUGAUCAGCCACACUGGAACUGAGACACGGUCCAGACUCCUACGGGAGGCAGCAGUGGGGAAUAUUGGACAAUGGGCGCAAGCCUGAUCCAGCCAUACCGCGUGGGUGAAGAAGGCCUUCGGGUUGUAAAGCCCUUUUGUUGGGAAAGAAAAGCAGCAGGUUAAUACCCCGCUGUUCUGACGGUACCCUAAGAAUAAGCACCGGCUAACUUCGUG
This 491-nucleotide ribosomal RNA is filed under the name uncultured bacterium. Its description in RNAcentral is "partial 16S ribosomal RNA". It matches the Rfam family "Bacterial small subunit ribosomal RNA", at positions 29 to 507 of the family's 1533-position model. The record is from RNAcentral.